This 497-nucleotide ribosomal RNA is filed under the name uncultured bacterium. Its description in RNAcentral is "partial 16S ribosomal RNA". It matches the Rfam family "Bacterial small subunit ribosomal RNA", at positions 28 to 507 of the family's 1533-position model. The record is from RNAcentral.
GACGAACGCUGGCGGCGUGCCUAAUACAUGCAAGUAGAACGCUGAAGAGAGGAGCUUGCUCUUCUUGGAUGAGUUGCGAACGGGUGAGUAACGCGUAGGUAACCUGCCUUGUAGCGGGGGAUAACUAUUGGAAACGAUAGCUAAUACCGCAUAACAAUGGAUGACACAUGUCAUUUAUUUGAAAGGGGCAAUUGCUCCACUACAAGAUAGACCUGCGUUGUAUUAGCUAGUAGGUGAGGUAAUGGCUCACCUAGGCGACGAUACAUAGCCGACCUGAGAGGGUGAUCGGCCACACUGGGACUGAGACACGGCCCAGACUCCUACGGGAGGCAGCAGUAGGGAAUCUUCGGCAAUGGGGGCAACCCUGACCGAGCAACGCCGCGUGAGUGAAGAAGGUUUUCGGAUCGUAAAGCUCUGUUGUAAGUCAAGAACGGGUGUGAGAGUGGAAAGUUCACACUGUGACGGUAGCUUACCAGAAAGGGACGGCUAACUACGUG